ACUCAACUAGCUCAGUCGGUAAAGAAUCUGCCUGCAAUGCAGGAGACCCAGGUUCAAUCCCUGGGUCAGGAA
RNAcentral lists this transfer RNA (72 nucleotides) under Bos taurus (domestic cattle). It matches the Rfam family "tRNA". Rfam says of the family: Transfer RNA (tRNA) molecules are approximately 80 nucleotides in length. The record is from Rfam by way of RNAcentral. Lineage: Eukaryota; Metazoa; Chordata; Mammalia; Artiodactyla; Bovidae. RNAcentral also lists the same sequence under 2 other names.